Anolis sagrei ordinatus is the source of this 1155-nucleotide non-coding RNA. The record is from RefSeq and is a predicted model, not a curated record. Lineage: Eukaryota; Metazoa; Chordata; Lepidosauria; Squamata; Anolidae.
AUUAGGUCGCUGGUGGCUUAUGCUCUUCCUUCCUCCUCUUUUUAGGCUCGUGGCAUUGAUGUGCAGCAGGUCUCCCUGGUUAUCAACUAUGAUCUGCCCACCAACCGGGAGAACUACAUCCACAGGAUUGGUCGAGGCGGCCGCUUCGGCAGGAAAGGGGUGGCCAUCAACAUGGUGACGGAAGAGGACAAGCGCACCUUGCGCGACAUCGAGACCUUCUACAACACCUCCAUCGAGGAGAUGCCUCUCAACGUGGCCGACCUCAUCUGAGCCUCGGCUGCCCGGCGGGGCCACAUCGGUGCCUAUAACAACCUCCCCGGUGGGCACAACAAAACACCCCUCGAUCCUUCCCACCCAACCAGAAAGAAAACCCCAAAUAUUUGCCCUUUUCUAUUUUUUUUUUUUUGAGUUUUCUUGCCUUUUGAAUAAAUGUCACUUUUUUGGAGGCAAAAAAUGAAAUUUAUAGUGUUUACUGGCGCUUUUUCCUCUGUCUCUUUCUCUCUCUUUCAUUCCUCCUUUUCCCCUUCUCUCUUUUCUUUCUCUCUCUCUCUCUCUCUCUGAUUUCAUUUUUCCAAACAGCCCCCAGAUUCGAACCCAGAACCCACAUCCAGGUCUCCUUAUAUAUAUUUUUUAAUGGAGAGAAGGAAGUUUCCGAAGCUUCCUCGCCUCUCUUCUCGCUUUCCCUCCAGACAAACAUCCCCAUAAUUAUUUUUGUAGCCGUCUUCAACGUUUUUUCCCUUUUUCCGCAGAAUCAUGGUGCUAAAACACUGGGGGAAGGGGGAAACCGCUUGAGAAUUUGAAACCUACCUCACAAAGAAGGUCAUGGUUUUCUGUUCUCCCUGCCUGGAAAUCAUUGGUGAAGAAGCAAACACGCAAAACACACAAACACACAAAAAACAUGCCAAUUUUUCUCCCCCUUUCGACGCCAAGGCGCAAAACCCUUUUUCUCCUUCCUUCCCUCCCUCAAUUCCCAUUGUUCGUUCGUUAAAAUAAAAUCGAAAAAAAAAAUUGGAAAACUUUUUUCAUACAGCAAAAAAAGAAAUCUGUGCGUUGCAAAACCUGAAAAAAACCCUUUUUUUGUAUAGCUAUUAUUUAUUCAAAAGGAAAAGUUACAGUGACCAAAAUAAACGUGAUCUUGAGAAAAACAAAACCAAA